RNAcentral lists this long non-coding RNA (1493 nucleotides) under Pan paniscus (pygmy chimpanzee). RNAcentral's name for it is "lncRNA (ENSPPAG00000044534.1)". The record is from RNAcentral. Lineage: Eukaryota; Metazoa; Chordata; Mammalia; Primates; Hominidae.
CUCACAGGAGGCUCUGAGCCAUCAAGAGUGGGUCAGGCUGGGCCUGGCACGGUGGCUCACGCUUGUAAUCCCAGCACUUUGGGAGGCCGAGGCGGGCAGAUCACCUGAGGUCAGGAGUUCAUGACCAGCCUGGCUAACAUGGUGAAACCCCUUCUUUACUAAAAAUACAAAAUUAGCUUAGCCGGGUGUGGUGGCGGGUGCCUGUGGUCCCAGCUACUCGGGAGGCUGAGGCAGGAGAAUGGCGUGACCCCGGGAGGCGGAACUUGCAGUAAGCCGAGAUUGCACCACUGCACUCCAGCCUGGGCAACUCUGUCUCAAAAAAAAAAAGAGUGGGUCAGGCUGGGCAUGAAUUCGCCUCUAUCAACUACCACCUGACCCCGGACAAGGCAGUAUGGUUUCCUGAACCAUAAAAUAGGGGGAGUGAUAGAACCCACCUGAUAGCUGUUCCUUCUUUAAGACUGAGCUCCAGUGUCACCCUUUCCCCAGCCCCUCGCAGUCCAUCUCCAGACCUCACCGUCCAUGCUCCGCACUUGCCACCCUGAGCCUCAUUCUGAAAAUACCUACCCGUGCUGCCCUCAAAGCUCAGCAUGUCUUGGGCCCCCAGUGUCUCUCCAAGCAGGGUCUCUGCACAGAUGUCAGGCCAGACUGUCCCUCUUUGCUCAGGGAAAGAGAAGAUGAGCUCUCAAGGUGCCAGCCUGUAGUCCCUGCACUGGGGCAGGACAAAGGUAAGUAGAAUCAAGAAUCGCCACCAGGACUACACUUUCCCCAGGAAAAACUUGAAACGAGUUCACGUAGCAUUUUGGAUCCCACCAGAACAGCAGCCCUAGAGAAAGUGCCAAGAGAAUUCCUAUACCCAAGUUUCUUCUCUUUCUCUUACCAGAAGCUCUUUGGCAUUUCACAAAGCAAGUUGCAACCAGAGUCUGGCAGCUUCCAUUGUAUCGAACAAUUAAGGAAAACAAUGAUCUGUGAUCACGGCAAGCUUCUGGCCGCCUGAAACGCAGAAGGGAGCUUGCUGGGUUUCAGACAUGGGUAAGUGUGGGGUGGCAUUGCAGCAGGGAUUGGAGGCCGUCAGACCAAAGAGGUGACCCAGAGUGGCCGUGGGCACAGGACUCAACCUCUCAGAGCCUCUGGUUCCUGGUCUAUAGCCUAAGGACGAUCCCACCUCCCAGGUUGUCAUGUGGAUUUAAUGGGCCACCAGGUGUAAUCAGUAUUCAGGAAGGGAUGGUAAUGGUCUGUGGUGUGGUUAUGGAGGAAGCCAAUGUCCACCAGUUCCACGUCCACGCAGGUUAGCUCCCAGGUCUUCCCAAUAACGCUUUGGGGCAAAGGAUUUACUGAAUUGACGCCCAGGGAGGUCCAAUGAGUUGCUCCAGGUCUAAUGACAUUGCCUAAGCGUGUCAUAGCCCCUCCCCAUGCUCAGUUCCCUGAUUUAAAGUCAGUGCCUCUUGGAAGCAAUCACAGUGUCCUUCGGGAGGUGAGUAGAUACAUAAGUGGAU